CGUGGGUAACCUGCCCGGAAGUGGGGAAUACCUCGGGGAAACUCGAGCUAAUACCGCAUGACAUCUUUGGGACGAGAGUCCCGACGAUCAAAGCGGGGUCGCAAGAUCUCGCGCUACCGGAUGGGCCCGCGCCCGAUUAGCUAGUUGGUGGGGUAAUGGCUCACCAAGGCUUCGAUCGGUAACCGGCCUGAGAGGGCGAUCGGUCACACCGGAACUGAGACACGGUCCGGACUCCUACGGGAGGCAGCAGUGGGGAAUCUUGCGCAAUGGGCGAAAGCCUGACGCAGCAACGCCGCGUGGAGGAUGAAGGCCCUUGGGUUGCAAACUCCUGUCGGCUGGGAAGAAAUCAUACGGUGCUCAUACCACCGUGUGUUGACUGUACCAGCAAAGGAAGCCCCGGCUAACUCUGUGCCAGCAGCCGCGGUAAUACAGAGGGGGCCAGCGUUAUUCGGAAUUAUUGGGCGUAAAGGGCGCGUAGGCGGCCAUGCGUGUCUUCCGUGAAAUCCCUCGGCUUAACUGAGGACGUGCGGAAGAAACUGCAAGCUUCGAGUCCGGGAGAGGGGGGUGGAAUUCCCAGUGUAGCGGUGAAAUGCGUAGAUAUUGGGAGGAACACCGGUGGC
RNAcentral lists this ribosomal RNA (620 nucleotides) under uncultured bacterium. RNAcentral's name for it is "bacterial SSU rRNA". It matches the Rfam family "Bacterial small subunit ribosomal RNA", at positions 116 to 716 of the family's 1533-position model. The record is from RNAcentral.